UUGUUACUCGAUAAACAAAUUUUAAAUAUUCGUCGAUUUCUCGUUUUCUCAUGCGAAUGCAAAGAAAACGAGGGGGAACGUUGUGAGUUGCUGCUGCGACCGCAACUCUACAUUUAAACCCGAAACUAGUCAGUAUGGCUUUCCUCCGGCAGACGGCGCUGACAUUAAAUGACAAAGAGUGUGCGCGAGAGAGACAGAAAAUCAGUCAGAACGUGUCGUCGGGCGCUGUGUUGCCACAGCAAAUUGAUUUGUUCCUUUUGGCUAUAAAAAUGAUACGAUCUGAUCCAGGUUCGGCAAACUGCCCCAUAAAAUGAAGCCAGCAGAUAAUCUUCGUGGGAUUCGCUUUCUUCUUGGUAUUUAACGGGAAUGUGUAUGGAAUGAAUCAAUAAUUAGUCUUCAUGUCGUAUAAGUUGGUUGGAUAAUUCAAUUUGUACAUUUUUAUUAUCUAGAAAUAGAUUUUUUUUGUCAGCUGCUUUCUAAAUCUAAAAUAACAGAUCACAAAAUAUUUUUCUGAAAUUUAUCUCAGCUUCGAAAGUUCGGAUGUAGUCAAGGACUGGAGAUCGACGUCAAGGGCCGGCAUGCUUAAGGAAGACGCCCUCAGCGGCGAUCGACCAGCAUCGGAGGAAGCAGAAAGGAAGUUCCUUUCUCGUUACUCCUCAUUACAGUAUUAUCUACAGAACAUAUAUAUAUUUGAUAUACUCGUAUAUACAAAUUUUUUAAAGUUUUUAAUUUUAAUUUUGAGUUUGUGCCGUCUCUUACUUAUUAAUUUAUUGAAUAUGUCACUAAAUAAAAAAGUUUUAUUUGU
Molecule: long non-coding RNA, 805 nt
Organism: Drosophila miranda
Lineage: Eukaryota; Metazoa; Arthropoda; Insecta; Diptera; Drosophilidae
Exons: 2
Source: RefSeq, a predicted model, not a curated record